RNAcentral lists this transfer RNA (66 nucleotides) under Thoradonta yunnana. Its description in RNAcentral is "tRNA-Ile". The record is from RNAcentral. Lineage: Eukaryota; Metazoa; Arthropoda; Insecta; Orthoptera; Tetrigidae.
AGUGUUAAGCCUGAAAUUAAAGGGCUAUCUUGAUGUGAUAGAAAUUGUAUAAAUAUACUAACACUU